RNAcentral lists this small nucleolar RNA (88 nucleotides) under Brassica carinata (Ethiopian mustard). RNAcentral describes it as "Small nucleolar RNA Z161/Z228". It matches the Rfam family "Small nucleolar RNA Z161/Z228". From Rfam's summary of the family: Z161 and Z228 are members of the C/D class of snoRNA which contain the C (UGAUGA) and D (CUGA) box motifs. Most of the members of the box C/D family function in directing site-specific 2'-O-methylation of substrate RNAs. The record is from Rfam by way of RNAcentral. Lineage: Eukaryota; Viridiplantae; Streptophyta; Magnoliopsida; Brassicales; Brassicaceae. RNAcentral also lists the same sequence under 1 other name.
GAUUCAAGUGAUGAGAUUGGAUCUAAAAUUAUCACAACGGUUGUCUGAUUCUAAUGAUGCACCGGUCCUUAUAUAUACUCUGAUGAUA